Molecule: long non-coding RNA, 286 nt
Filed under: Ananas comosus (pineapple)
Lineage: Eukaryota; Viridiplantae; Streptophyta; Magnoliopsida; Poales; Bromeliaceae
Description: long non-coding RNA (ACOM_LNC004278)
Source: RNAcentral
UUUGAAAUAAAAAUAUUUGAGCAAUGCUCCUGUACACUAAAAAGAACCCGGCCCUUAAAUUUUUUAAAAUAAAUAGUAAAAAUAUCUUUUAGUUAAGAGGUUGACUGACUUUUGUUGUCUUAGAUACCAGUCACCCUCUUAUCAAGGAUAAACUAUUUUCUUAUAUACAAAAUUAAUAUAAAGGGCUUUUUUAUAAAUUUAUAUUUUCAUUCACAUAAUGCCCCUCUAGUAAUUAUAAAAUAUCUCAUUCUAUUUUUGGAAAGUUUUCACCCUCAAAUAUUGCUAU